This 775-nucleotide ribosomal RNA is filed under the name uncultured Neocallimastigales. Its description in RNAcentral is "partial large subunit ribosomal RNA". It matches the Rfam family "Eukaryotic large subunit ribosomal RNA", at positions 22 to 647 of the family's 3401-position model. The record is from RNAcentral. Lineage: Eukaryota; Fungi; Neocallimastigomycota; Neocallimastigomycetes; Neocallimastigales.
GUACACGCUGUGACUAGCAUAUCAAUAAGCGGAGGAAAAGAAACUAACAAGGAUUCCCCUAGUAACGGCGAGUGAAGCGGGAAGAGCUCAAAUUUGAAAUCUUAAAGGGUUUCCCUUUACGAAUUGUAGCUUAAAGAAGUGUUUUCUGUUGAGGCUUUGGUAAAAGUUCUUUGGAAUAGGACAUCAUAGAGGGUGAGAAUCCCGUAUUUGACCUUUACUUUCAACUUUGUGAUACACUUUCAAAGAGUCAGAUUGUUUGGGAAUGCAGUCCAAAAUGGGUGGUAAAUUUCAUCUAAAGCUAAAUAUUGGCGAGAGACCGAUAGCGAACAAGUACCGUGAGGGAAAGAUGAAAAGAACUUUGAAAAGAGAGUUAAACAGUACGUGAAAUUGUCAAAAGGGAAGCGUUUGACACCAGUGUUGUUUUUCUGAAAAUCAAUUAAAGAACUGUUUAUGCUAAGCUGUUUAGACUUUAUCAGCUAAUCUGUUUAGUUUUGAGCUUUUCUUUAAUGCACUUUUCAGUUAACAAGUCAACAUCAAUUUCUUUUGCUGUAAAAAAGCUUGAGGAAGGUGGCUUGAGAUUCGUCUUAAGUGUUUAUAGCCUCUUGCCUAUGCAGUCGGAGAGAUUGAGGUCUGCAGCGUAGAUCCUUCGGGGCUAAAUGCAUUUGUGCUAAGUUAUAGCAUUUUAUAGACAACUUGUUGACUAUGAUUAGUCUUGUAGCUUACUCGCUUAUGCUAUUUUACCUACGCUUAGGAUGUUGACGCAUGAGAUAUACGC